GGGCUUGACAUCCCACGAACCUGCCCGAAAAGGUGGGGUGCCCGCAAGGGGGUGUGGAGACAGGUGGUGCAUGGCUGUCGUCAGCUCGUGUCGUGAGAUGUUGGGUUAAGUCCCGCAACGAGCGCAACCCUCACCCCUAGUUGCCACCGGGUUAAGCCGAGCACUCAAGGGGAACUGCCAGCGUCAAGCUGGAGGAAGGCGGGGAUGACGUCAAGUCAUCAUGCCCCUUACGCCCUGGGCUACACACGUGCUACAAUGGCCAGUACAAAGGGACGCGAGACUGCGAAGUGGAGCUAAUCCCAAAAAGCUGGUCUAAGUUCAGAUUGCAGUCUGCAACUCGACUGCAUGAAGGAGGAAUCGCUAGUAAUCGCGUAUCAGCCCGGCGCGGUGAAUACGUUCCCGGGCCUUGUACACACCGCCCGUCACACCACGAAAGCUGUCUGUACUCGAAGUCGCUGAG
RNAcentral lists this ribosomal RNA (460 nucleotides) under uncultured Methylomirabilota bacterium. RNAcentral describes it as "bacterial SSU rRNA". It matches the Rfam family "Bacterial small subunit ribosomal RNA", at positions 977 to 1434 of the family's 1533-position model. Lineage: Bacteria; Methylomirabilota (SeqCode). The record is from RNAcentral.